CGCACACUCCGCGCCCUCGCGCACACUCCGCGCCCUCGCGCACACUCCGCGCCCUCGCGCACACUCCGCGCCCUCGCGCCGCGGCCCCUCCGCUGAGAUCGGUCGCCGUGAUGCGAAGCCCAGAAUCCCUCCGCGAAGCGGCGCGAGGGCUCCUGGGAAAUGUAGUUCCGGCGCUGCGCUCCGAGGGGCGGCCGAGCGUGGGGGCUCCGAGCCCCGCCUUCCUCCUGGCGGCUUCGGGGCCCCUGGGCGCCGCCGUCCGCCCAGUGCCGCUCCCGCCCCGCUUUCGCGGAGGCCCGGGUGUUCCGACGCUGAGAUGUAGGUGCCCCGAGGACGGGGCUGAGAAGUCAUCUGCAGGUGAAGCCAGUACAAAUAACCAAGGGAUGACGCCCAGUGAAAUGUCCCCUUGCUCUGAUUGGAUGAAAGAAACAAGAAAAGAAAUAUCCUGAUCUAUCUUCCCAUUGUGCAGGCAGAUGUCACUCACACUCUCAAGAUGGCAGACACUGACCUGUCCCCACUACGGGCUCUGACUGCACAGGACUCUGCCUGCUUCUGUGUGAGAAAUAACUGAAGAGGAAAGGAUGGAAAUCCAGCCACCUGCCUCCAGGGAUCAGUGACCUUUAAAGAUGUGGCUGUGGAGUUCACACAGGAAAAGUGGGUGAGGUUGGACGCUGCUCAGAGAAGUGCGUACAGAGAUGUGAUGCUGGAGAACUAUAUGAAUCUCACCACAGUGGAACUUCAGUUAUGCAAGCCUCCUGUGCUCUCCCUGCUGGGUGAAGAAGAGAUGAUACCAAGGCAAAGAAUUCCUCAAGGCAACUGUCCAGACUGGGAGACUAAAAACCAAAGAACGCCUAUGUGGAAUAUUUUUUGGGAAAAAGCAUCCAAUGGAAUUAAAGUGGUAAGAUUCAUGAUGGGUGAGUGGUCUCCCACAUUAAGAGAAGAGUGGGCAGGCCAUAAGAUCAGAAAACAUCACAAGAUCUCAGAGGGUAAUUUGAGGCAAAUCACAUUUACCCAGAAGAAAACAGCGUAUCAGGAGAGAUUCUGUGACUGAUGUGAAUUCGAGGAAAACUCUAAAAUUAGAUCAAAACUUGGUUUUUCAAAGAGAGUUUCUACCAGGAAACACUGCCAUAAAUGUUCCUUAGGUGGUGGGUGUUUGAAGUGUAAUUCAAUCCUAAGCAAUCACGAGGAAAACUAAGUGAGAAACUCUGUGGAAGUUGUGAAUACAAUAGAGCUCUGUGGCAUCUUGAAAGAACUCAAACAGCACAGAAAGAGCACACCUGGUGUAAAACAUAGCAUGCUCCCUCUGCAGAACCACCUUCACACGGUGGGAAAUUCCUAUGAAUGUAACAAAAACAAAACUCUUUGUCAUCGAUCAUCCCUUAAGCGACAGAAGCAACCUCCUACUGCAGAGAGACAUGGGUGGAAACAGUGUGGGAAAACGUUUGGGAUUUCUGAUCUCACUUUGCACCAGAGAAAUCACCUGGGUGAGAAACAGUAUGCAUGUCAGGAAUGUGGGAAAGUCUUCAGUGAUUCCUCAACUCUAAGGAGACAUGUGCAAACUCACACUGGAGACGUGCGAACUCACACUGGAGAAAAGCCCUGCGAGUGCCCACAGUGUGGAAGAGCCUUCAGUCAGAGCGCUUCACUUAUUAUACACAAGAGAACUCAUACUGCACGAGAAUCCCUCUGAAGGAGUCAUCUUGUGAUGGUGAGAAUGACAACCGUGCCUAAGGAUGAGGUAGUAGGAAGAGUCUUCAGAGCCAUCUUUAAAUGGCUGGGCCAGCUCUGCACUGCUUAUACCUGGACAUCUUUUUAUGAGAAAAAUUUCUUUGAACACAAGAGAGACCAUUUUUAACACAGAAAGGAAAUUCACAGAUUGAUAGAUGUCAUGAAACUCACCUGCAAUUUGAGAAAUGCAUGUUGUGCAGAUGUCGUGUUCACAAGAAGCACAGAGUCUCCUACCUGUGAGUCUCCUUUCCUCUGGAGAUAGUUUGAGGGGCUGAUCGCCUCAGUCCGAUCACGGAUGGAGCUGUGUUGAAUUUGUAGCAUGACUUAGUUUACCUCUAUUUAGUACUCAUCUCAGUGUCAUGCUCUAGUGAAAAACUGGAAAAUUCCCAGUAACAGCUAAUUGUUUUUUUAAAAUUGUUUGUCUGUAAAAUGGAAUUUAAUGAGUCAUUAAAAUGUAGUUAGAUAUUUAUUGAUAUGUGGGGAUAUAUUCACAUCAUGAUUUUUAAAUACAAUUACAAAAUAUCAAAGUAUAACCAUGUUUUUAUUACAAUAUAUAUUGUAAAUAUAUAUUUCUAUUUUGGACACGAUGCCCCCACGGUGUUAAUUCUGAGCCUUGUUGGGGCAAGUCUCCUUAACAUCCUGCCCCAUAUAGCUUCAGAUUUUGCAAAAUGGCUUGAGGAGGGCUGGCCAUUAGUUCAGGCAGUUACCCUUCCCUGGUGGGUUUUCAGUCCUCAGUACCACACACUGCAGCUAGUUCACUCUACCUUUUGAAACGUAGUCUAGCCCCCAGCCUUCUACCCAGCUCGAAAACUCAGCACAUGUCCCAUGGGCGAGAACCACCUGUGCAUUUGAAGCUUCUCACGUUUUCUUUUUUCCCCCCUUCUUCCACUCCCCUCCCCCACUCCAGUUCAAGCCAUUGUUUCUCAGUCUAGUUGUGUAGGACACAGCUCCCUGGCCCAUGCUGGUAUUAUGAGCCUUGCACUCCCCCCAGCUGAAGAAGUCAGUCGCUGGUCGUUGAUCGGCCACUCAGAGCAGCUCAUGUCAGCUAUCUACAGCUCACGCCGACCUCCAGCUGCUCAAGGCAGCCCAGCUCCAGGGAGAGCUAUUGUUCACAAUCUUAGCUGUAGAGGGUGCAGCUCACUGGCCCAUGUGGGAAUUGAACCGGAGACUUCAGCAUUAGGAGCACAGCACUCCAAAUGCCUGAGCCACUGGGCUGGCCCCUCUCUCACAUUUAUAAUCUGCCACCUCAACCUCAGGUGACCCUUAAAACUCUUUCCCCCAGAAAAGACCCUUUUCUGGGCCCAGCCCAAGCUUCAGCCCACAGCCAAAAUCAGGAAAUGCUUACAGGGGGGAAAAGAACAGCUUGUGUGAACAGGUCACCUGAGGAUUGUCCCCUUUGGAAGUUUACAUCAUCUAGUCCUCAUUGCUUCCACAGCUCUAUGAUGCCUAUAAAACUAUUUUUGAAAUUUAUCUGCUUGCUACCACCAUACUGCAUCCUAUCUAGAAAUGGACUUUUUGAAGAUACUAUAAACAGUUAAACUCAACCUCAUAGUAACAACACUGCAUACAGUUGAAGAAAUAACCAUAAAGAGCUGUAACCGCAGACACACACGACAUGACAGCUGCAUCAAGGAGUGUGCCAGUGUUUACUGUUCAAUGGUCACUCAGCAGUACACUUUGUUACAAGAGACUUACUCAAGAUAAAUUCAGUUCAACUCAGAAAAGGUUACAUAUGGAGUCACAUUACAGGCAAGGCACCAUGUUGUGUGAAAGAUUCCCUACUGUGCGCUCCUGUAAAGGGCAAGAGUAUGGUGCCUUUACAGUGCAUGCAUGAGAGUAACCAUAACAGAGUAAUAGAUACUGUUACUGUUAGAGGUGCAACAGUUACAUCCCUGUAUGUUUCCCAUACACAUACACACACCGAAUGAGCAAACCUCGGAGUCACACUGCACAGAUCUGGCAUCUCCAGUGGGCGUUUACCCGUUGAGAUGGUCACACUGUAUCUCACAAAUUGUACCCGAAGUAUUACACAAGUCAUUCAAAGUGCAACAUCGUAUGCUCGUCCAUCUCAGCAUGUCUGGCUGUUGUUACUGAUUUUCACCGUGAAAAGACGGGCAACAGUUUGUUGUCUCCUGCCUCAGCACGCCAGCUCAUAACAAAAGGUGUAUUAAGUGUAGAAAGAUGAAACAUAUUAUGUGCUAAAAGUGAAGGAAAGCAACCUUCACCUGGCACUGACAAAACACACUGUAUGAAUGAAAACAUCCAAAAGAUGCUUACUUCUUUCCACUGCCAAGUGUCCUGACAUCUUUUAUUGUAUAACCUAGGAAUUGCCUAUAUUUUAGUUUAAUUAAAAAUAAUACACUUGUUAUUUUCUGAAAUAUCUUACCACAGAUCAAUGCAAGGUCUUUUUGGAUGAGUUACAUACUUCAGAGUGACGUUACAUGAAGGGAGUUUUAGAGGUAAGUUGUAACUUUUGAUAAAAUGAUUCAGGUACUAUAUUCGUGAGCUGGACUACCUAUAAAGGCACUUCUGGCCUGACUGCCCCUCAUUUACCUGGUCACAGGCCUCUUGUCACUUUUUUCUCCAUGUCUCUUUCCCUUGCUCCAGCAAGGCGGUCAGGUUUGGUUUAGAAAUAGAAAGUUCUGCUUACAAGAGGGAGAAAAUAGAUACUUCAAAAUACUAGUUUUCUGAGAUCCAGACCCGAUCUCUUAGGGAAGCUGUUACAAGAACAGGAGCAGGAGGAAACUGCUGACCACUUUCCACUACUAACGAAUUUUCCACCAUUUCCUCAGGAACAUGGAACAGGUCGUCAGGCCAUUGAGCGCCCACCCCGGUAUCUCCUUUGGAGACAGCAGAGAUAACCACAUUCAGAUUCUGAAUUUGGAGGAACGGCAACCUCCUCAGACCGUGUUCCCAUAGCUGUCCAUCAUUACAUCCCAUGUCAAGUCUUGGGAAGGGUCCAGUCAGCCCCAUUCCUCCUGAGGGCAGUCUGUAGCCACAUCCCUGAAUGGGACAAACCUCUGAAGUGACAGAUACAUUCUUGUUCACCACAGACCUGCCCACAUGAUGCGAGGGGAAGUAACGCUGCUGAGAGUACUGGGGAAGGGAAGAGCUGGACAGCAGUGCUGGCAGUUUGAGGCUUCAGACAGUCCUACAAGAGUAAUUAUUAGGCAGCAGCUAUGUGUUCUCUCACACCA
Long non-coding RNA from Rhinolophus ferrumequinum (greater horseshoe bat), 4922 nucleotides. RefSeq lists it as uncharacterized. The transcript is spliced from 6 exons. Lineage: Eukaryota; Metazoa; Chordata; Mammalia; Chiroptera; Rhinolophidae. The record is from RefSeq and is a predicted model, not a curated record.